Molecule: ribosomal RNA, 483 nt
Filed under: Triticum aestivum (bread wheat)
Lineage: Eukaryota; Viridiplantae; Streptophyta; Magnoliopsida; Poales; Poaceae
Description: partial small subunit ribosomal RNA
Source: RNAcentral
AUGUCCGCCCGGUCGGCGUCGCGCAGCACCCAAACGAACCGCUGGUUGCUGUCGCGCAGCGCUGCGGCCAGCUCCCUGACCUGCUCUGCCCGGAGAGACGACGUCGUGCCGAACGAAAUGUACAGCACCGACGACGGCGGCUGCCUGUCGAGCCAUUCCAGGCACUCGUGUCGCUCCGCCGGAGCCUGUGCGGCCGCGGCGGCAUCGGUGGCGGGCAGCACCGGGUUCAGAGGCCCGAUGGCGAACAGCGUGUGGCCGUCGGAGGAGGAGGCGCUCUGGGCCGCGAGCACGUCGAGGAACUCGCCCUCGAGCGCGCGGCAGGUGUUCACGACCAUGCCGGAGCCGGGCGCGCGGCGGCGCUCCUGGCCCAUCCGCUUGGCGAGCGCCACGAAGUCCUUGGUCGCGCAGGCGUCGGCCGGGUGGAACACCAUCCCGUGCUCCCGCAGGAGGCGGUGGCCGGGGUCCAUCCACCCGACGUUGUAG